CCUAUGGGCACAAAAAGCAGGAACGAGUAGCGGUGGCUGAAGAACGAGCAGGAGCUUGAAUUUCAGUUUUCUUAUGAGGAAUUUUCCAGAAAAGAUAUCUUCACUGUGAAAUAACUAAAUAAAUGCCCACUCAGUACAACAGUGCCGAUGUAAUAGUAACAAAAAGUCUCAGCCUCAUUUAAGAUAAAAGGCCAUCAUCAGACAAUGCAGGACAGAUUGUAACAAUAGGAAGUACUACAGAGAUUCAGAGAAUGCCAUAAAUAACCUUGGAAUCCUGUGCUUGGUUUUGUUCUCAAAGAAUUCCAGAUAUGAUUUUUUUCCAGACAAAAAUACCUGCUACAUGCUUCCUUCUGUAUGAAUACAUGAGACCUACCUUCAUUCAUGUUUCCUCUAUGAAGCUUUCCCUGCACUCCAAACACAGAGCUGAGACUUCCACCUAAUGUAGAAAGCUAGCACGAGCCGGCGCUGACAGAUGGAAGACUUGAGAUGUUACAAGAUUAUAUAUGGAAACACAAAAGGUAAGGUUAAAAUCUGUUCAUUAGACUUAUUUCCUAACCUUUUAAUCACUCAUCACUUUGGAACAUUCUUGCAACUGAACUGAAUAAGCUGGGAAGGUUUUUUGGGUAAUUCUACUAACGCUUUUUUUUUUUUUUUUUUUUUUUUUUUUUGAGACAGGGUCUCACUCUGUCACCCAGGCUGGAGUGCAGUGCUGUGAUCCUAGCUCACUGCAGCUUUGAUCUUCUGGGCCCAAGCAAUCCUCCCACCUCAGCCUCCUGAGUAGCUGGGACUCAAAGUGUGCCACCACACCUGAUUUUCUUUUUGGUAGAGAUGGGGACUCACUAUGUUGCCCAGGCUGGUCUCAAACUUUUGGCCUCAAGGGAUCCUCCCACCUUGGCCUCCGAAAGAGUUGGGAUUAUAGGCAUGAGCCAACAUGCAUGGUCAAAUGCUUUUUAAACUAGUAAUUCACCUGUGUAUGGUUAUGUCAAAGAAAAAUACAAGGUUGCAUACGCUUAGAGAAAGUAAGGAAGUAACCCAUUACAUGUAUGUUUGUAAAUUUUACUUAGGCCAUCAUUUUUUAUUUUCACCUUUGAAUUUCAAAGUAAAUUAGAGAUAUGUAAAUAACAGAAUUAUCAACAUUAAAAUCUUAUUCACAAUGGCUAACAAGAACAGGAUGACAGUCAAGUCAGUAGCUUUUUAAUAAAAUGAGCAGAAUCCCAUCGUAACAGUUCUUUGUUACAUGAAUUCAAAUACACAGCAGACCAAUCAUGUUCCCUGAAAUUUAACAAUCAAUCAUACUUAAUAAAGGCCUGUUAGUGCUGUCCCUCAAGACUCUAAUUCUAAAGGGCUUCCUUUGAAUUCCCUUUAUAAAGCUUUGUGCAAAGAAGAGCUUAAGCACCAGUAAGAAAGACUGUCGCUAGCAUUUUUAUUUCAUCAUCAACAACAAACAUGCAGUUUCUUUCUCUGAUGUGCAUGGCACUGUAAAAUGGGUGCUACACUCUCUCUUGUGGUACAAAGUUUAUAAAUACAGUAUACUGAUACAAAGUUGAAGCCAUUAAAAAGAGCUUAAUAACAACUAUGAGGAGAUAAUUAAAUCUGGAGUGUUGAUGGAAUCUAUGAAGAGAUUUAGAAACAAGACAUAAACACUACGGUAAAAGUUUUACUUGGGAAGGGGCCAGAGGGGAACUUUUUAUGUGCUACUGAAAGAUUUUUUAAGUUGCUCCAGAUUUACUUUCUUUCUGCUAUUAUCUUUAAAUACUGCAAAGCAUUGUGAGCUGCAUCACUUUGUGCAUUGCCACAGGAGAUACCGGAGCCAUGACAGACUGUGAUGGGGCUGGUGGACAGUUCAGCAAGACAUUGAUAUUGUCCAUUGGCGCUCAGUUCAUCUGUAAUGACACAUUCAAGGAUGACGAUUAAUGUCCAAUAUGUAUAAAGUGGAUCCCUUUGUAAAAACAAUACAAUUCUUAUUAUUGUCUUUCUUUUUAAGCCUCCAUGGUAUACUACACCACUCGCAAUCUUUGUUUUGCUUGUACAAACAAAAAACCACAACUGCUCAGCUGUAGCAGUUUUCAAACACAUUACACUUCAUAAUGAUCUGACAGUGUUAAAGACAUACAGAUAUCUAGGCUGCACUCUAGCUCACUCAAUCAGAAAUAUACAGUUGGGGGUGGCUGAUUCCUACACUUAAAAAAAUAACAGCUCCCAAGGCAAUUCUAAUAUAGUUAGUUGAACACUAUUUGGAAAUUACUGAACCACACAGUAACUUUCUCAAAAGGGAAAGAACCAUUUGCUAGAGGACUGGAGAGAUUGUAUUUUCCACUAGGAAGUCAUUUUCAGGAGGCAUUUGAACCAGGAAUAACUUCGGUCAAGGCAAAACCUCCCUUGUGUCUUCUAUUAAAAAAAAAUGUUUAAUUGAUACAUAAUAAUUGUAUGUAUUUAUGCUGUUGUCCAUUCAUGUUCCUAGGUUUUAAGUCUGUGCAGAGUCUAGUUCUUUAUUUAUACUGUAAAUGGGUCAUGGUAUUUUAAAAACAAUACCUGACCCAGGAAACAAACGUUCUUCCCAUCAACUGAUGAGCCACUCUUACUAAAGAUGGCUGAAAUGAGGGCAAAGAGGAAGAAAUAGAAACGUGUGCGGUAUGAUUUAUUUGAAGUAGGCAUAAUAAAAAUGUUAUUUUUGAUACUCUAUUUAGUGGAAAAUAUCCAGAUACAAUGGGAUUAUUUAAUGAGUAAAGAGGCUUUCUAGUUCUAGUAUCUAGGUUCUUUUCUCCUGACCCUCCAGCUUCUGCUUGAGGCUCAUCCAUGUUGUAGAAUGUAUCAGAACUUCGUUUCUUUUUACAGCUGAAUAAUAUUUCAUUGGAAGGACAGUCCACAAUUUGUUUAUCCACUUAUUCACUGAUGGAUGUUUUGGGCUGUUUCUACCUUUUGGCUUUUGUGAAUGGUGCUGCUAUGAAUAUACAGAUACCUGUGUGUAUAGGCAUUUGUUUAAAUACCAGUUUUUUAUUUAUACUCCUAGGAGUGGAGUUGCUGGGUCAUAUGGCAAUUCAUUUGAGGAACUGAGAAGCUUAUUCCAUGGAGGCUGAACUGUUUUAUAUUCCCACCAGCAACGUGUAAGGUUCCAGUUUAUCUACAUCAUCACCAACACUUGCUAUUUUCCAUUUCAUUAAUGAUAGCCAUCCUAGUGGAUUUGAAGUGGUACCUUAUUAUCGUGGUUUUGAUUGCAUUCUCUAUUGACUAAUGAUAUCGAGCAUCUUUUCAUGUAUUUUUUGGUCAUUUGGUCAUUUUUCUUUUUUAAUUUUAAAAUUUUGAGACAGGCUCUCACUAUGUUGCCCAGGUGGUCUCAAACUCCUGGGUUCCAGCGAUGCUCAUGCCUCAGUCUCCCAAAGGGGUGGGAUUACAGGUGUGAGCCACUUUGCCCAGCCCAUUUGUAUAUCUCCUUUGGAGAAUAUCUAGGUUCUUUUGAAGGUAGCUGCAUAUAAACUAGCCAAAUUAACAGACUGUGGUUUUUAGAUGGCUUUCCAUAUCUACAAGAACUAUUUAGUUCUCAAAACUGGGAAGAAAUGUUUCAGAGGCAUCAUUAAUUCAUAAUCUAAAAAUUUAUCUUGGGUUUCCUUUUUUCCCCCAGAUUCUGUAUCCUCCAUAGUCCUAUUCAUGACAUGGGUCGUUCAUCUCUGUAUUCUAAACCCUCAAUGAACUGUAGACAGUAAUAAAUAUUUAUUGGAU
This 3717-nucleotide long non-coding RNA is filed under the name Homo sapiens (human). RNAcentral describes it as "HSALNT0307536". Lineage: Eukaryota; Metazoa; Chordata; Mammalia; Primates; Hominidae. The record is from RNAcentral.